Molecule: long non-coding RNA, 1689 nt
Organism: Carassius gibelio (silver crucian carp)
Lineage: Eukaryota; Metazoa; Chordata; Actinopteri; Cypriniformes; Cyprinidae
Exons: 6
Source: RefSeq, a predicted model, not a curated record
ACACUCUAAAAAACGCUGGGUUGUUUUUUCAACCCAACUGCUGGGUUGAGGCCGUUGGAUAGGACUUUGGGAUGUUUUAACCCAAGUUUGGGUUGAAAAUAACUAUCUUUUUUAACCCAGCGGGGGUGGGUUGAGGACGCGGACGUGAAGGAGAGCACGCACGUCACGUCAAAAUCGUACGUCUCUCCAGUGCGAGCAGCCGCCAUUUUCUCAGCGUGAUAGAAGCGAGAAGCGAGUGAAAGACUAUGACUUGUCCAGCUCCUGUCUUCAUUGUCCUCGCGCUGAGAGUUAAAGACACAGAAGCUGUUUGUGUGAGGAGUCACAGACCUGUGUGAGGAUGAGGAGGAGGUGUUCUUCUGAAGAGAGGGACAGACGGUUUAAGGAGAGUAAACUUCAGAAUAACAUCAAGUUAUCUUUAUUUUUACUAAGACUAAAAUAAUGUGUGUGGUUUUUUUAGAUGUUGAAAUCCAGAGACAAGAUAACUUCAUUCUUUUGAGACUGAUAACUCAAACUAACUGGAGUUAAGGACACAGAAGUCUGCUUGUGUGAGGAGGUGGUUUUCUCAGCUUCUUCUGAAGAGAGGGAAAGAUUGUUUAAAGGCGGGCGUACACGGUGCGAAUUCGGAUGGUCGGAAGAUCCUAUGUCCACGCACACGGCACGAAUGUUAAAAGCAAGAGACAUGGGAGAUCAUCAUUCCCUUGAGAUUUUAUAACUCAAACCAACUUUGGAGUUGUCUGAUUUGGAGAGUCAUUAUUCUUGGUCUGCGCUCUUAGAGGCCACUGAUGAAGAGCAGGCGAUGACUGGGAUGAAUGCUGGUCAGAGAGGAGAAUCUUCUUUCCCCUAAACAGCAGUGGUUUUAAAGAAGGACGCUGCCCUGGAUGAUGUAGAAGAUGUCACAUGCUGUGCUGAUGGGGCUUCUUCAUGACUACAUCAGUUAUGCUAAAGAGAUCAUGAAAAUUGACUGUGAUGCAUGAUCUGUAUUCAUGGACUAUGAAACAAACUGUAAGUGUAUAAUUUGUUAAAAAAAAAAAAGUUAAAUGCUUUUUCUGUGUUAUUUAGUAGAAAAGUUUACACUCUGUCAUUCAUACACCUGCUCACAUUCUUUCACACACACACACACACACACACACACACACACACACACACACACAUGCGUCUGUUAAAGGUUAUAAUAUCAAAGUUAAUGUUGUGAUUUAUUUGUGUACUGUCAUGCCAGAAUAGUUGGAAAAAAAACUAAUUGUAAAUUUAUUGUAUGUGUUUUCGUAUAUUUUUAUACAAUAUAUACAAUUGAACAAAGUCCAAUGUGAUCUUAAGUUAUAUUCAUCAAAUGUUCAAUGCUUUGUUUAUGAACUCUGUAGCUGUUAAUGCCAUCCUUUUCUGCAUUUCUUCUAACAUGUUACUUUUUGACUUUUCUCUUGUUUUUAAUAAAUAUUUUCCUUUUGGUAAUUAUUAUUUGUGUGUAAAAGUGAUAUUUAAAAUGAACAACAUUUGUAGGUUUAAUGCCUAGCUCAAUUUGGGUUAAUUUUAACGUAGAAAUGCAUUGUUUCCCCACAUGGCUGCACUCUGCGAGUUUAUUUUCUGCCAGCAGGAGGCGCUAAGAGCGGGAGAGGUAGGUUUCUCCGGUAACGGCUGCAGAGCGGUAGUGAGCUCUCAAACGCUGCCUUAUCAAGCACAUUCGAAAUGAUAUCG